AUACCUUUCUCGGCCUUUUGGCUAAGAUCAAGUGUAGUAUCUGUUCUUAUCAGUUUAAUAUCUGAUACGUGGACCAAUGGUCCACACGAUAUUAAAUUAAUUUUUAUAAGGGGUGGGUUCACUACAGUAGCUUGCUACUGGAACUCACAAGUGUCAUCUUUGUAUUGCACUACUGCAAAGCUUGGCGCACCCUAC
Small nuclear RNA from Rosa chinensis, 195 nucleotides. RefSeq annotates it as U2 spliceosomal RNA. NCBI's taxonomy places the organism in Eukaryota, Viridiplantae, Streptophyta, Magnoliopsida, Rosales, Rosaceae. The record is from RefSeq and is a predicted model, not a curated record. The transcript has a single exon.